AACAGGAUUAGAUACCCUGGUAGUCCACGCCCUAAACGAUGUCUACUAGUUGUCGGGUCUUAAUUGACUUGGUAACGCAGCUAACGCGUGAAGUUGACCGCCUGGGGAGUACGGUCGCAAGAUUAAAACUCAAAGGAAUUGACGGGGACCCGCACAAGCGGUGAUGAUGUGGAUUAAUUCGAUGCAACGCGAAAAACCUUACCCACCCUUGACAUGGCAGGAAUCCCGGAGAGAUCAGGGAGUGCUCGAAAGAGAACCUGCACACAGGUGCUGCAUGGCUGUCGUCAGCUCGUGUCGUGAGAUGUUGGGUUAAGUCCCGCAACGAGCGCAACCCUUGUCAUUAGUUGCUACGAAAGGGCACUCUAAUGAGACUGCCGGUGACAAACCGGAGGAAGGUGGGGAUGACGUCAAGUCCUCAUGGCCCUUAUGGGUAGGGCUUCACACGUCAUACAAUGGUACAUACAGAGCGCCGCCAACCCGCGAGGGGGAGCUAAUCGCAGAAAGUGUAUCGUAGUCCGGAUUGCAGUCUGCAACUCGACUGCAUGAAGUUGGAAUCGCUAGUAAUCGCGGAUCAGCAUGUCGCGGUGAAUACGUUCCCGGGUCUUGUACACACCGCCCGUCACACCAUGGGAGCGGGUUUUACCAGAAGUAGGUAGCUUAACCGCAAGGAGGGCGCUUACCACGGUAGGAUUCGUGACUGGGGUGAAGUCGUAACAAGGUAACC
This 724-nucleotide ribosomal RNA is filed under the name uncultured bacterium. RNAcentral's name for it is "bacterial SSU rRNA". It matches the Rfam family "Bacterial small subunit ribosomal RNA", at positions 771 to 1501 of the family's 1533-position model. The record is from RNAcentral.